RNAcentral lists this ribosomal RNA (427 nucleotides) under uncultured Stenotrophomonas sp. Its description in RNAcentral is "bacterial SSU rRNA". It matches the Rfam family "Bacterial small subunit ribosomal RNA", at positions 355 to 774 of the family's 1533-position model. The record is from RNAcentral. Lineage: Bacteria; Pseudomonadati; Pseudomonadota; Gammaproteobacteria; Lysobacterales; Lysobacteraceae.
UGGGGAAUAUUGGACAAUGGGCGCAAGCCUGAUCCAGCCAUGCCGCGUGGGUGAAGAAGGCCUUCGGGUUGUAAAGCCCUUUUGUUGGGAAAGAAAUCCAGCUGGCUAAUACCCGGUUGGGAUGACGGUACCCAAAGAAUAAGCACCGGCUAACUUCGUGCCAGCAGCCGCGGUAAUACGAAGGGUGCAAGCGUUACUCGGAAUUACUGGGCGUAAAGCGUGCGUAGGUGGUCGUUUAAGUCCGUUGUGAAAGCCCUGGGCUCAACCUGGGAACUGCAGUGGAUACUGGGCGACUAGAAUGUGGUAGAGGGUAGCGGAAUUCCUGGUGUAGCAGUGAAAUGCGUAGAGAUCAGGAGGAACAUCCAUGGCGAAGGCAGCUACCUGGACCAACAUUGACACUGAGGCACGAAAGCGUGGGGAGCAAACA